GCCGAUGUAGCUCAGCUGGUCAGAGCAGCUGAUUUGUAAUCAGCAGGUCGGGGGUUCGAAUCCCUCCAUCGGCU
Molecule: transfer RNA, 74 nt
Filed under: Bacteroidales bacterium
Lineage: Bacteria; Pseudomonadati; Bacteroidota; Bacteroidia; Bacteroidales
Description: tRNA-Thr
Rfam family: tRNA
About the family: Transfer RNA (tRNA) molecules are approximately 80 nucleotides in length. Their secondary structure includes four short double-helical elements and three loops (D, anti-codon, and T loops).
Source: RNAcentral